RNAcentral lists this long non-coding RNA (1067 nucleotides) under Cyanistes caeruleus (blue tit). Its description in RNAcentral is "lncRNA (ENSCCEG00000019693.1)". Lineage: Eukaryota; Metazoa; Chordata; Aves; Passeriformes; Paridae. The record is from RNAcentral.
GGGAAGACAAUUCCAAUACUUUAUCACUCUUUCUGUAAAAAACUUUUCCCUAAUAUCCAGCCUAUAUUUCCCUUGGCACAGCUUAAGACUGUGUCCUCUCAUUCUGUCAGUUGCUGCCUGGAGAAAGAGACCGACCCCCACCUGACUACAGCCACCUUUCAGGAAUCUGUAGAGAGUGGUAAGGUCACCUCUGGGUCUCCUUUUCUCCAGGCUAAACAAUCCCAGCUCCCUCAGCCAUUCCUCAUAGGGUUUGUGUUCCAAGCUCCUCACCAGCCCUGUUGCCCUCCUCUGGACACACUCAGAUGUCUCAAAGUCUUUCCUAAACUGAGGGGCCCAGAACUGGACCCAGAACUCAAGGUACAGCCUCACCAGUGCCAGAUACAGGGGAAGAUUGACCUCCCUGCCCCUGCUGGUCACAUUAUUCCUGAUCCAGACCAGGAUGCCGUUGGCUUUUUGGCCACCAGGGCACACUGCUGGCUCAUGUUCAGCCAGCUGUCACCAGUACCCCCAGUUCCUUUCUGCCUGGGCACUGUCCAGCCACACCGUCCCCAGCCUAUAGCACUGCAGGGGGUUACUGUGGCCAAAAUGCAGGACUUGGCACUUGGACUUGUUAAACUUUAUCCUAUGGACACUGUCCAUCCAUCCAACAGGUCCAGGUCUCUCUGCACAGCCCUCCUACCUCCCAAUGGAUUAACACACACUCCCAGCUUAGUGUCGCCUGCAAAUUCACUAAUGAAAGACUCAAUACCCUCAUCCAUAUCACCAAUAAAAAUAUUCAACAGGACUGGCCCCAGCACAGACCCCUGAGGGACACCACUGGUGACUGGCCACCAGCUGGAUGCAGCACCAUUCACCAGCACUUUGUGGGCUUGGCCUCCAGCCAGUUCUUAACCCAGCAAAGAGUGUUCCUGUCCAAACCAUGAGCUGCCAGCUUUUCCAGGAGCGUGCUGUGGGAGACAGUGUCAAAGGCCUUGCUGAAGUCCAGGUACACAACAUCCACAGCCUUUCCUGCAUCCACCAGGUGGGUCACUUGGUCAUGAAAGGAGAUCAGGUUGGUCAAACACAAC